AUGCCUACGGGAGGCAGCAGUGGGGGAUAUUGCACAAUGGGGGGAACCCUGAUGCAGCGACGCCGCGUGGGUGAAGAAGCGCCUCGGCGCGUAAAGCCCUGUCAGCAGGGAAGAAAAUGACGGUACCUGACUAAGAAGCCCCGGCUAACUACGUGCCAGCAGCCGCGGUAAUACGUAGGGGGCAAGCGUUAUCCGGAUUUACUGGGUGUAAAGGGAGCGCAGACGGCAGUGCAAGUCUGGAGUGAAAGCCCGGGGCUCAACCCCGGGACUGCUUUGGAAACUGCAUAGCUGGAGUGCUGGAGAGG
Molecule: ribosomal RNA, 305 nt
Filed under: uncultured bacterium
Lineage: Bacteria
Description: bacterial SSU rRNA
Rfam family: Bacterial small subunit ribosomal RNA
Source: RNAcentral